Molecule: unclassified non-coding RNA, 251 nt
Filed under: Hevea brasiliensis (rubber tree)
Lineage: Eukaryota; Viridiplantae; Streptophyta; Magnoliopsida; Malpighiales; Euphorbiaceae
Source: RNAcentral
GAAAGAGGGAAGCUUGGACCAGGAAGGCAUCGAGCUUUUGCAGUUACAAGCGAAAGCCGUGCAAGUGACAUAGUUUUGAGAUUUCACGAUUGUUGUCAAAGCUACAAGGCUUUUAGAAAAAGUCAGGAGCCAAAUGUUAACAAGCUCAAAGAACCUCUAUUGAAUGAAAUUACUCAUGAAUUAGUCAGGCAAUAUGGGCUUAAUUUUACAAAUCAAGAUGUAUCUUCUUUAUGGUUUCUCUGCAAACAGGA